GUUAAAAAGCUCGUAGUUGGAUUUCUGCGGGGGCGGGGCGGCCGGAUGCUUAUAGCAUCUCGAGCUAGCACUUCCCCCGCAUCCUGCCGCGAACCGUGCUACCAUUAGUUUGGUGGCGCUGGGGAUCGGCUCGUUUACUUUGAGAAAAAUAGAGUGUUCAAAGCAGGCCACACGCCUUGAAUAAGUUAGCAUGGAAUAAUGAUAAAGGACUUCGGUUCUAUUUUGUUGGUGUUCGGGACUGAAGUAAUGAUUGAUAGGGACAGUUGGGGCGGUCAGUAUUCCAAAGCGGGAGGUGAAAUUCUUAGACCUUCGGAAGACUAACAGCUGCGAAAGCGUUCCGCAAGGAUGUUCCCUUUGAUCAAGAACGAAAGUUGGGGGAUCGAAGACGAUCAGAUACCGUCGUAGUCUCAACUAUAAACUAUACCAGCUAGGGAUCGGCCGACGUUUACUUAUAUCGACUCGGUCGGCACCUUAUGAGAAAUCAAAAGCA
Molecule: ribosomal RNA, 490 nt
Filed under: uncultured marine eukaryote
Lineage: Eukaryota
Description: bacterial SSU rRNA
Rfam family: Eukaryotic small subunit ribosomal RNA
Source: RNAcentral